This 213-nucleotide long non-coding RNA is filed under the name Mustela putorius furo (domestic ferret). RNAcentral's name for it is "lncRNA (ENSMPUG00000029819.1)". Lineage: Eukaryota; Metazoa; Chordata; Mammalia; Carnivora; Mustelidae. The record is from RNAcentral.
GGUGUAAACCCUUGGACACAAGCGCUAGCUAAAGCCCGAUGGACAGAAAAGGCAGACUCUUAUCCAAAGUGAGAAAGCCGUCCCGCUUUGCAUGGGGGCUCCCACUGCACAUCUGGCACCCACCUCACAGGUGAACCUUCCCGCUCCUAAAUGAUGACUGGUAAGAAAAACAAGAUGUCUUUCUUGGUUAUAAAUUUAACUCUUCUAUGAUUA